This 591-nucleotide ribosomal RNA is filed under the name uncultured eukaryote. RNAcentral describes it as "SSU rRNA". It matches the Rfam family "Eukaryotic small subunit ribosomal RNA", at positions 407 to 1004 of the family's 1831-position model. The record is from RNAcentral.
CUACCACAUCUAAGGAAGGCAGCAGGCGCGAAAAUUACUCAAUACUAAUACAGUGAGGUAGUAACAAUAAAUAACACAGCCCAGCAUUUCAUGUUGGGCUUUUGGAAUGAGAACAAUUUAAAUCCAUUAUCGAGGAUCAAUUGGAGGGCAGGUCUGGUGCCAGCAGCCGCGGUAAUUCCAGCUCCAAUAGCGUAUAUUAAAGUUGCUGCAGUUAAAAAGCUCGUAGUUGGAUUUCUAGCGAGGCACGAGAAUAUCCACCUAUGGUGAAUACUUCUCUCGCCUUGCUCUUCUUUAGUUGAUGUCUCUGGCAUUAAGUUGUCGGAGUCCUGAGACUAAUCGUUUACUGUGAGAAAAUUAGAGUGUUCAAAGCAGGCUUAUGCCGUUGAAUAUAUUAGCAUGGAAUAAUAAGAUAGGACUUCGGUACUAUUUUGUUGGUUUGCGUACUGAUGUAAUGAUAAAUAGGGACUGGCGUGGGUAUUCGUAUUUUAAUGUCAGAGGUGAAAUUCUUAGAUUAUUGAAAGACGGACGACUGCGAAAGCAUCUACCAAGUAUGUUUUCAUUAAUCAAGAACGAAAGUAUGGGGAUCGAAGA